GGGUCAUUAGGUUGGUCGUGCCACCGGUACGUACUGGUCUCACUGAUUCCUCCUUCCUGAAGAACCGUAAUGCCAUUAAUCUGGUGUUGCGGGGAAACAGGACUGUUACUUUGAAAAAAUUAGAGUGUUUAAAGCAAGCUAACGCUUGAAUACAUUAGCAUGGAAUAAUGAAAUAGGACGAUCGAUCCUAUUUUGUUGGUUUCUAGGAUUGACGUA
This 216-nucleotide ribosomal RNA is filed under the name Glomeromycotina sp. RNAcentral's name for it is "partial small subunit ribosomal RNA". The stretch from base 40 to 216 matches the Rfam family "Eukaryotic small subunit ribosomal RNA", at positions 686 to 864 of the family's 1831-position model. The record is from RNAcentral. Lineage: Eukaryota; Fungi; Glomeromycota.